UUUCGGGUGCAAACCUGUGGCAACACUUAAUGCCAUUUGGAGUCGCUUGUCCCAGGUUAACACAGAUUUCUUAUCCGUCUUAUCUGCAGUAAGAAAGUUGAUCUAGCUUCAGAAGAAGGAAACUUUGGACUUGUGCAGCUGGGCCCAAUUGCUCACUACUAGCGAAGGACAACAAUCAGCAAGCUAGAGUUGCAGUUUAUGGUCGACCGUUACGGUCGAUUUCGGAAAUUUUUUUCUGGAAAAAAAUUUCCACCCGGAGGGGUGGAAAUUUAUUUCCAGAAAUAUUUUUUUGCCCGUUAGGGCACUCUCGCUUCCUCUCACCCGCGUCGUCUUCCUCUCGCCCGCGUCUUCCUCUCCCUCUCCCCGCAGCCUCCUCCUCCUCUCGCAGAUUUUUGGUUUUUUCUCGCUCUCUCCAGCUGCUCUCUCGCUCUCCCCUUCUUCAAGUUUCGGCGUCUUUCCCCUUUUCGGAAACUCAUUUCCUCUGCGAGGGGUGGAGAACGGUUUAUUUUUCUGCCCGUUAGGGCACCCACGCUUCGCCAAAGGGAAGCUGCCUCCCUUUCUUCUCCCUCUUUGGUCCCUCUCUGUCUCUGUGGGAUCGAUGGCCUGCACCAUCGAUUUUCGGUGCUUAGAUGAAGGAUUGGGGGCCCAGAACCGCCAAAAGAGAAAGAGAUCGGUGGCAGACGAUGACGGUGAGCCCCUGGCCAUGGAAGUCGACGAUGUCCCUACUUCGAAGAGAUCUGCCGUCCCCUCUGAAGCAGAAGAAGCUCUUGAAGGUGGUGUUUGACGAUCUUCUCAAGAAGUAGGGUUUUACCUUUUCUUUAUUUUUUCUUUUCCCUCUCGUUUGAACUUUAUAUAUGGUCAUAUGUACGUUUUUGGCUGGUGGGUGUUGGAGAAAUUGACAACCAUGAAAGGGAAAUGAGUUUAUCUCUAUUUUGGUAGCCGCAGAGGUUUUGUAGUGAAAAUUCAUUCGGCUAAACUACUUAAUUUUAACUGAGAUUUAGUUUGAA
Long non-coding RNA from Nymphaea colorata (pocket water lily), 1007 nucleotides. RefSeq lists it as uncharacterized. NCBI's taxonomy places the organism in Eukaryota, Viridiplantae, Streptophyta, Magnoliopsida, Nymphaeales, Nymphaeaceae. The transcript has 2 exons. The record is from RefSeq and is a predicted model, not a curated record.